ACAGGGGUGGGGACUUGUCAUGGGGGUGGAGCUUUGUGAUGGAAUUAGUGCUCUUGUAAAGGGACCCCAGCAUUAUCCCUUGCCCCUUCCACCAUGUGAGUCUGACCUGAAUCUCCCUCACCCCUUCUACCACGUGAGGACACAGAGAGGAUUCAGACCCGAAUCUCGUGAUGCCUCCAUAUCGGGCCUCCAGAACCGAGAAGUAAAUGUCUGCCGUCUGUGACAGCAGCAUGCCCAGAUGGAGACAGCCUCACUGACUUACUAAUUUCUACUCCUUACCUGAAGAGGCACAGAAUUAUGCUUCCUGUUGCAAGGGACAUCAGAGAGACACUGUAGCCCAGGGUGUAAAUGGCCUUCACCAGAAUAUAAAACGUGAUCUACAAAGAAAGAAAAUGGAUCUGUAAGCUGAUGGUGACUGGCAGCAACACCAGACAAUGGGAACGGUUCCAACAUCCAGCCCUGUGCUCUGGCCAUGAAGGACUCUUGCCUGCCUGGAAGGCAUGAGACAGUCUCACUUUAUAAUUCCACCUCCAUCUUGAACCAAAAAAUGAUACCCACCACUCAGAACAUCCUCUUUUUUUCUUGUAUUUCAUCAUGAAUGACUUUGGAUGGUUUCCGUAAAGCACCUCUGUGUGGAGGGAACAUGACCCACCACCAUCAGGGAAAGCAAGGGAAGAAGCGCUGAGCUAAGUUCACAAAGAAAGCUCAGUCUGUCCCCAAGGCAGCACAUCCAGCCUUCUGAUACUUCAAGUGGACACACAAGUCUGAGUAUGUUAAACGCUAUGACCUCCAGGCGCAGGGUGAGGUGCUCCAGACAGAGGGAGUUGCCUAAGCCAUAGCCAGCUGCUAAGCUGCAGUAUCUUGGGAAUUUUAUUUUCUUAACAUUUCUUGGUUUAGCAAGCUUCAUGGCUUGAUACUUUUAAUCUCUACAAAAUCAUCAGGCACAUGAGGCAUUCAUGAUCAUCACAGUGGCAGAAUCACUGACAACAGGGAAUCCUACACAGAAAGAACUGGGUCCUCUAGAAGGAAAACCAGUGCCAGUCCUGAUAAAACCAGCAACACCUGCAGGGCCUCAUCAUUGCUCACCACUCCCAAAAGCCACUUCCUGAUCUGCAUUUUCCUUGAUAAAGCUAAUUCCUAUAAAAUAAAGAGGUAAACAAUCCAUGUGUGCUUAUAUGAUGAAUUUUAUUUUUGCCACGAGGUCCUAAAUCUGUAUAGAUAAAAC
Callithrix jacchus (white-tufted-ear marmoset) is the source of this 1225-nucleotide non-coding RNA. The record is from RefSeq and is a predicted model, not a curated record. NCBI's taxonomy places the organism in Eukaryota, Metazoa, Chordata, Mammalia, Primates, Cebidae.